RNAcentral lists this ribosomal RNA (497 nucleotides) under uncultured bacterium. RNAcentral's name for it is "partial 16S ribosomal RNA". It matches the Rfam family "Bacterial small subunit ribosomal RNA", at positions 28 to 507 of the family's 1533-position model. The record is from RNAcentral.
GAUGAACGCUGGCGGCGUGCCUAAUACAUGCAAGUCGAGCGAACGGACGAGAAGCUUGCUUUUCUGAUGUUAGCGGCGGACGGGUGAGUAACACGUGGAUAACCUACCUAUAAGACUGGGAUAACUUCGGGAAACCGGAGCUAAUACCGGAUAAUAUUUUGAACCGCAUGGUUCAAAAGUGAAAGACGGUAUUGCUGUCACUUAUAGAUGGAUCCGCGCUGCAUUAGCUAGUUGGUAAGGUAACGGCUUACCAAGGCAACGAUGCAUAGCCGACCUGAGAGGGUGAUCGGCCACACUGGGACUGAGACACGGUCCAGACUCCUACGGGAGGCAGCAGUAGGGAAUCUUCCGCAAUGGGCGAAAGCCUGACGGAGCAACGCCGCGUGAGUGAUGAAGGUCUUCGGAUCGUAAAACUCUGUUAUUAGGGAAGAACAUAUGUGUAAGUAACUGUGCACAUCUUGACGGUACCUAAUCAGAAAGCCACGGCUAACUACGUG